CAUUCAGACCUUUCCUCUUUAGUGUACUUAACAAAGAAACUUAUUCGAAAACUCUGCAGAUAGGCUUUUUUUGUCCAUAUUCCAACGUCAACUCAGAUUCGUGAUUUCAUGUGUGAAUAAUCAGAAUAAAUAUAUAUUUAAUAUACUAUACAUAUUUUGAUUAUAUCUCACACUUAGGACAUCCAUCUCCUUAUUAAUAAUUGUUCUUCUAUGACUUCAAAACAAGUAAUUGAACAAGUACCACAUCUGCUGAAUUGCGCACGACGAUUGGCAAGGGUGUUUGAAAAUGAAUCAGAUCAAAACAUAGUGCCGUCGGAGAUCCUUGCGCAUGGCCAAAGAGCACAAAGUGCCUAUCAGACAGCAUUGAAAAGUGGGAAAGUCAAAAAUUGUCGCGUGCCCAUAGUUUUGGUUGGCCAAUCCCGAUCUGGAAAGA
RNA transcript from Exaiptasia diaphana, 433 nucleotides. RefSeq lists it as uncharacterized. NCBI's taxonomy places the organism in Eukaryota, Metazoa, Cnidaria, Anthozoa, Actiniaria, Aiptasiidae. The record is from RefSeq and is a predicted model, not a curated record. The transcript has 3 exons.